RNAcentral lists this ribosomal RNA (304 nucleotides) under gamma proteobacterium SCGC AAA278-L15. RNAcentral's name for it is "partial 16S small subunit ribosomal RNA". It matches the Rfam family "Bacterial small subunit ribosomal RNA", at positions 467 to 772 of the family's 1533-position model. The record is from RNAcentral. Lineage: Bacteria; Pseudomonadati; Pseudomonadota; Gammaproteobacteria.
CAAUGGGCGCAAGCAGAAUAAGCACCGGCUAACUCCGUGCCAGCAGCCGCGGUAAUACGGAGGGUGCAAGCGUUAAUCGGAAUUACUGGGCGUAAAGCGCNCGCAGGCGGUUUNUUAAGUCAGAUGUGAAAUCCCCGGGCUUAACCUGGGAACUGCAUUUGNNACUGCCANGCUAGAGUNNNGUAGAGGGGGGUAGAAUUCCAGGUGUAGCGGUGAAAUGCGUAGAGAUCUGGAGGAAUACCGNUGGCGAAGGCNGCCCCCUGGACNAAGACUGACGCUCAGGNNCGAAAGCGUGGGGAGCAAA